CGGUGUUUGCUUUGGCAGCGCUCUACUAAAGUUGGAACAAUACAGAGAAGAUUAGCACGGCCCUGCACAAGGAUGACAGGCAAAUUCGUCAGGCGUUCUAUAUUCUC
Molecule: small nuclear RNA, 107 nt
Filed under: Meriones unguiculatus (Mongolian gerbil)
Lineage: Eukaryota; Metazoa; Chordata; Mammalia; Rodentia; Muridae
Source: RNAcentral